This 422-nucleotide ribosomal RNA is filed under the name Poecilotheria metallica. RNAcentral's name for it is "partial 16S ribosomal RNA". It matches the Rfam family "Bacterial large subunit ribosomal RNA", at positions 1832 to 2600 of the family's 2925-position model. Lineage: Eukaryota; Metazoa; Arthropoda; Arachnida; Araneae; Theraphosidae. The record is from RNAcentral.
UUCUAAUUGCCUCAUAAUUAGUAAGACCUGCACAAUGACCACUUAAAUAGCCGCUAACGUGCAAAGGUAGCACAAUAAAUUGCCUGCUAAUUACAGGAUAGAAUGAAAGGUCUAACAUGAUACCUUCUUUAUUAUCUUAACCUCUUUAACUUUACAAGAAAGUAAAAAGGCUUUCAUAAUUAGGGGGACGACAAGACCCUGUCGAACUUAACUUUAAGUUUAGCUGGGGCGGCAAUAAAUACUACCUUUCUCUAAUCCAUUCAAAAUCCAUAAUAUGAUAUAUUAAGUUACCGCAGGGUUAACAGCAUAAUUUACUUCUAGAGACCUUAUCCAAAAGUAAGAUUGUGACCUCGAUGUUGAAUAAUAAUCUCCUUGGAGCAAAAUCCAAGAAAGAAAGUCUGUUCGACUUUUAAUAAAUUACA